GCUGGGCACGAUGAUGCGUGCCUGUAAUCCUAGCUACUUGGAGGCUGAGGCAGGAGAAUUGCUUGAAUCCGGGAGUCGGAGGUUGCAGUGAGCCGAGAUCAUGCCACUGCACUCCAACCUGGGUGACAGAGCAAGACUCUGUCUUGG
RNAcentral lists this non-coding RNA (147 nucleotides) under Nomascus leucogenys (northern white-cheeked gibbon). The record is from Rfam by way of RNAcentral. Lineage: Eukaryota; Metazoa; Chordata; Mammalia; Primates; Hylobatidae.